UAGCAGCGGGAACAGUACUGCAG
Molecule: microRNA, 23 nt
Filed under: Dasypus novemcinctus (nine-banded armadillo)
Lineage: Eukaryota; Metazoa; Chordata; Mammalia; Cingulata; Dasypodidae
Also listed under: 12 other names
Description: dno-miR-503-5p
Gene: dno-miR-503-5p
Source: miRBase by way of RNAcentral